This 461-nucleotide ribosomal RNA is filed under the name uncultured Nostocales cyanobacterium. RNAcentral describes it as "bacterial SSU rRNA". It matches the Rfam family "Bacterial small subunit ribosomal RNA", at positions 9 to 524 of the family's 1533-position model. The record is from RNAcentral. Lineage: Bacteria; Bacillati; Cyanobacteriota; Cyanophyceae; Nostocales.
GAGUUUGAUCCUGGCUCAGGAUGAACGCUGGCGGUAUGCUUAACACAGCAAGUCGAACGGACUCUUCGGAGUUAGUGGCGGACGGGUGAGUAACGCGUGAGAAUCUCCUACAGAUUGGGGACAACGUCGGGAAACUGACGCUAAUACCGAAUGUGCCGAGAGGUAAAGAUUUAUCGUCUGUAGAUGAGCUCGCGUCUGAUUAGCUAGUUGGGGCGGUAACGGCGACCAAGGCGACGAUCAGUAACUGGUCUGAGAGGAUGACCAGUCACACUGGGACUGAGACCGGCCCAGACUCCUACGGGAGGCAGCAGUGGGGAAUUUUCCGCAAUGGGCGAAAGCCUGCGGAGCAAUACCGCGUGCGGGAGGACGCUUUUUGGAGUGUAAACCGCUUUUCUCAAGGAGAUGAUGACGGUACUUGAGGAAUCAGCAUCGGCUAACUUCGUGCCAGCAGCCGCGGUAAU